GACGAACGCUGGCGGCGUGCUUAACACAUGCAAGUCGAACGGAAAGGCCCUGCCUUUGUGGGGUGCUCGAGUGGCGAACGGGUGAGUAACACGUGAGUAACCUGCCCUUGACUUUGGGAUAACUUCAGGAAACUGGGGCUAAUACCGGAUAGGAGCUCCUGCUGCAUGGUGGGGGUUGGAAAGUUUCGGCGGUUGGGGAUGGACUCGCGGCUUAUCAGCUUGUUGGUGGGGUAGUGGCUUACCAAGGCUUUGACGGGUAGCCGGCCUGAGAGGGUGACCGGCCACAUUGGGACUGAGAUACGGCCCAGACGCCUACGGGAGGCAGCAGUGGGGAAUAUGGCACAAUGGGCGGAAGCCUGAUGCAGCAACGCCGCGGGCGGGAUGACGGCCUUCGGGGUGUAAACCGCUUUCGCCUGUGACGAAGCGGGAGUGACGGUAAUGGGUAAAGAAGCACCGGCUAACUACGUG
RNAcentral lists this ribosomal RNA (468 nucleotides) under uncultured bacterium. Its description in RNAcentral is "partial 16S ribosomal RNA". It matches the Rfam family "Bacterial small subunit ribosomal RNA", at positions 28 to 507 of the family's 1533-position model. The record is from RNAcentral.